This 811-nucleotide ribosomal RNA is filed under the name uncultured Gammaproteobacteria bacterium. Its description in RNAcentral is "bacterial SSU rRNA". It matches the Rfam family "Bacterial small subunit ribosomal RNA", at positions 1 to 803 of the family's 1533-position model. Lineage: Bacteria; Pseudomonadati; Pseudomonadota; Gammaproteobacteria. The record is from RNAcentral.
CGCGGGAUUAGAGUUUGAUCCUGGCUCAGAUUGAACGCUGGCGGCGUGCCUAACACAUGCAAGUCGAGCGGUAACAGGUGUAGCAAUACAUGCUGACGAGCGGCGAACGGGUGAGUAAUGCUUUGGAAUCUUCCCAGUAGUGGGGAAUAACCAGUCGAAAGAUCGGCUAAUACCGCAUACGUCUGUAAAGGGAAAGCGGGGGCUCGUAAGACCUCGCGCUAUUGGAUGAGCCAAAGUCGGAUUAGCUAGUUGGUGGGGUGAUGGCCUACCAAGGCGACAAUCCGUAGCUGGUCUGAGAGGACGACCAGCCACACCGGAACUGAGACACGGUCCGGACUCCUACGGGAGGCAGCAGUGGGGAAUAUUGGACAAUGGGGGAAACCCUGAUCCAGCGACGCCGCGUGUGUGAAGAAGGCCUGCGGGUUGUAAAGCACUUUUAGUGGGGACAAAAAGCUACGGAUUAAUACUCUGUGGUCUUGAUUUAACCCAAAGAAAAAGCACCGGCUAACUCUGUGCCAGCAGCCGCGGUAAUACAGAGGGUGCGAGCGUUAAUCGGAAUUACUGGGCGUAAAGCGCGCGUAGACGGUUUUGUAAGUCAGAUGUGAAAUCCCUGGGCUCAACCUGGGAACUGCAUUUGAGACUGCAUGGCUAGAGUAUCGAAGAGGGAAGUGGAAUUUCCGGUGUAGCGGUGAAAUGCGUAGAUAUCGGAAGGAACACCAGUGGCGAAAGCGACUUCCUGGUCGAAUACUGACGUUCAUGUGCGAAAGCGUGGGGAGCAAACAGGAUUAGAUACCCUGGUAGUCCACGCCAU